RNAcentral lists this transfer RNA (71 nucleotides) under Candidatus Naiadarchaeum limnaeum. Its description in RNAcentral is "tRNA-Gly". It matches the Rfam family "tRNA". Rfam says of the family: Transfer RNA (tRNA) molecules are approximately 80 nucleotides in length. Their secondary structure includes four short double-helical elements and three loops (D, anti-codon, and T loops). The record is from RNAcentral. Lineage: Archaea; Nanobdellati; Candidatus Undinarchaeota; Candidatus Undinarchaeia; Candidatus Naiadarchaeales; Candidatus Naiadarchaeaceae.
GCGCUGGUGGUUUAGUGGUAGAAUGAAAGCUUCCCAAGCUUUUGAUCCGGGUUCGAUUCCCGGCCAGCGCA